This 497-nucleotide ribosomal RNA is filed under the name uncultured bacterium. RNAcentral's name for it is "partial 16S ribosomal RNA". It matches the Rfam family "Bacterial small subunit ribosomal RNA", at positions 28 to 507 of the family's 1533-position model. The record is from RNAcentral.
GAUGAACGCUGGCGGCGUGCCUAAUACAUGCAAGUCGAGCGAGCAGACGAGGAGCUUGCUCCUCUGACGUUAGCGGCGGACGGGUGAGUAACACGUGGAUAACCUACCUAUAAGACUGGGAUAACUUCGGGAAACCGGAGCUAAUACCGGAUAAUAUAUUGAACCGCAUGGUUCAAUAGUGAAAGACGGUUUUGCUGUCACUUAUAGAUGGAUCCGCGCCGCAUUAGCUAGUUGGUAAGGUAACGGCUUACCAAGGCAACGAUGCGUAGCCGACCUGAGAGGGUGAUCGGCCACACUGGAACUGGGACACGGUCCAGACUCCUACGGGAGGCAGCAGUAGGGAAUCUUCCGCAAUGGGCGAAAGCCUGACGGAGCAACGCCGCGUGAGUGAUGAAGGUCUUCGGAUCGUAAAACUCUGUUAUUAGGGAAGAACAAAUGUGUAAGUAACUAUGCACGUCUUGACGGUACCUAAUCAGAAAGCCACGGCUAACUACGUG